Molecule: long non-coding RNA, 271 nt
Filed under: Homo sapiens (human)
Lineage: Eukaryota; Metazoa; Chordata; Mammalia; Primates; Hominidae
Description: non-protein coding lnc-EZH2-5:1
Source: RNAcentral
AAUUUAUGGGGCUGACACUGAUGAUGUUGACAGUCAAAAUAGUAUUGCAAAGAGCCUGAAAAUAAUCUAGCUGCAGAAUCAUCUACCAAAACUGAUUCCUGCCUGCAUGUACAAGGUGGAUGCUGCAGCAUUGCUCAGAGUGGCCACAGAUCUGCCACUCCUUGAAAGUCCAUCAUCAGAGGGAGAGAAAGAGGAAGUAUGAAGGCGUAUCUGUCUGCAUAGACUAGGAAAAUCUGGCAGAGGAUGAGAACCUAGUAACUCUAAAGUCACU